GAUGAACGCUAGCGGCAGGCCUAAUACAUGCAAGUCAAGGGGCCAGUAAUGGCACCGGCGGACGGGUGCGUAACGCGUACACAACGUACCUUUGGGUGGGGAUAGCAUCGGGAAACUGGUGGUAAUACCCCAUGGUAUUGGAGACUGGCAUCAGUUUUCAAUUAAAGACUACGCCCAAAGAUCGGUGUGCGUCUGAUUAGCUAGUUGGUAGGUAACGGACCACCAAGGCGACGAUCAGUAGGGGUUCUGAGAGGAAGGUCCCCCACACUGGCACUGAGAUACGGGCCAGACUCCUACGGGAGGCAGCAGUAGGGAAUAUUGGGCAAUGGACGAGAGUCUGACCCAGCCAUGCCGCGUGCAGGAAGACGGCGUUCUGCGUUGUAAACUGCUUUUAUCUGGGAAGAAAAGGCCCAUGCGUGGGACAUUGCCGGUACCAGAUGAAUAAGCACCGGCUAACUCCGUG
This 463-nucleotide ribosomal RNA is filed under the name uncultured bacterium. RNAcentral's name for it is "bacterial SSU rRNA". It matches the Rfam family "Bacterial small subunit ribosomal RNA", at positions 28 to 507 of the family's 1533-position model. The record is from RNAcentral.